GAUGAACGCUGGCGGCGUGCCUAAUACAUGCAAGUCGAGCGAACAGACGAGGAGCUUGCUCCUCUGACGUUAGCGGCGGACGGGUGAGUAACACGUGGAUAACCUACCUAUAAGACUGGGAUAAUUUCGGGAAACCGGAGCUAAUACCGGAUAAUAUAUUGAACCGCAUGGGUCAAUAGUGAAAGUCGGUUUUUCUGUCACUUAUAGCUGGAUCCGCGCCGCAUUAGCUAGUUGGUAGGGUAACGGCUUACCAAGGCUGCGAUGCGUAGCCGACCUGAGAGGGUGGUCGGCCACACGGGAACUGAGACACGGUCGAGACUCCUACGGGAGGCAGCAGUAGGGAAUCUUCCGCAAUGGGCGAAAGCCUGACGGAGCAACGCGGCGUGAGUGAUGAAGGUCUUCGGAUCGUAAAACUCUGUUAUUAGGGUAGAACAAAUGUGUAAGUAACUAUGCACGUCUUGACGGUACCGGGUCAGAAAGCCACGGCUAACUACGUG
RNAcentral lists this ribosomal RNA (497 nucleotides) under uncultured bacterium. RNAcentral describes it as "partial 16S ribosomal RNA". It matches the Rfam family "Bacterial small subunit ribosomal RNA", at positions 28 to 507 of the family's 1533-position model. The record is from RNAcentral.